UACGGAGGGGGCUAGCGUUGUUCGGAAUUACUGGGCGUAAAGCGCACGUAGGCGGAGUGGAAAGUUGGGGGUGAAAUCCCGGGGCUCAACCCCGGAACUGCCUUCAAAACUAUCGGUCUGGGGUGCGAGAGAGGUGAGUGGAAUUCCGAGUGUAGAGGUGAAAUUCGUAGAUAUUCGGAGGAACACCAGUGGCGAAGGCGGCUCACUGGCUCGAUACUGACGCUGAGGUGCGAAAGCGUGGGGAGCAAACAGG
This 253-nucleotide ribosomal RNA is filed under the name uncultured bacterium. Its description in RNAcentral is "partial 16S ribosomal RNA". It matches the Rfam family "Bacterial small subunit ribosomal RNA", at positions 524 to 776 of the family's 1533-position model. The record is from RNAcentral.